GCACUGAUCAGUCGAGUUCUCCACCUGUCCAAAACAAAGCCACUAUGUUACUAUAUGUAAAUAUGCAGUCAUUUAUCAUGUAAAAUCAAUGCUACUUUACAUACCUGUAUCCUAGUGGAUCAGCCUGAUUAGGCAUACGCCACCAAAUGGAUCCUCAAAACCAGCAUGAUCCACGUCUAAAGGAACAUAUCAUGCUACAUCACCUCCCACUGCCGACUGAUGGGCUCCUACUCUGGGAAGCACCCGAUCUGACCGUCCAACAUGUAAAUACUCCCAGACCCAAAGUUGAAGCAACACCAAUGGCCCAUUUACUCAAAUUAUCAAGUUGAUAUGUUUUCAGAUAUUGGAAGCAAUUGGAUCAUGUUCUCUCAAUAUAUUGCAUGCUUCAAUCAAACUUUCAAGGUUGAUUUUUUUUACAGUUUGAUGAAAAUAAGC
Molecule: long non-coding RNA, 435 nt
Filed under: Elaeis guineensis (African oil palm)
Lineage: Eukaryota; Viridiplantae; Streptophyta; Magnoliopsida; Arecales; Arecaceae
Description: long non-coding RNA (EGUI_LNC025609)
Source: RNAcentral